UACGAAGGGUGCAAGCGUUACUCGGAAUUACUGGGCGUAAAGCGUGCGUAGGUGGUUCGUUAAGUCUGAUGUGAAAGCCCUGGGCUCAACCUGGGAAUGGCAUUGGAAACUGGCGACCUAGAGUGCGGUAGAGGGUAGUGGAAUUCCCGGUGUAGCAGUGAAAUGCGUAGAGAUCGGGAGGAACAUCUGUGGCGAAGGCGACUGCCUGGACCAGCACUGACGCUGAGGAGCGAAAGCGUGGGGAGCGAACAGG
RNAcentral lists this ribosomal RNA (253 nucleotides) under uncultured bacterium. Its description in RNAcentral is "partial 16S ribosomal RNA". It matches the Rfam family "Bacterial small subunit ribosomal RNA", at positions 524 to 776 of the family's 1533-position model. The record is from RNAcentral.